ACACGACUACAUUAGAUACCCGUGUAGUCCUAGCCGUAAACGAUACUCGCUAGGUGUCGGCCACGGUGCGACCGUUGUCGGUGCCGUAGGGAAGCCGUGAAGCGAGCCACCUGGGAAGUACGGCCGCAAGGCUGAAACUUAAAGGAAUUGGCGGGGGAGCACAACAACGGGUGGAGCUUGCGGUUUAAUUGGAUUCAACGCCGGAAAUCUUACUGGGACCGACAGCAACAUGAAGGCCAAGCUGAAGACUUUGCCGGAUUAGCUG
RNAcentral lists this ribosomal RNA (265 nucleotides) under uncultured archaeon. RNAcentral describes it as "partial 16S ribosomal RNA". It matches the Rfam family "Archaeal small subunit ribosomal RNA", at positions 719 to 982 of the family's 1478-position model. The record is from RNAcentral.